CCGACUUCCGCUAAGUCAUGUAAAACAGAUAGACCGUAGGCUCUUUGCUGCGGUUAGCCCGCUGUUUCGGGCAACGACUAGAAUUCACAGCGCUGAGGGAUUGUUUUCGGUUCAAAAACCACUUCAGCGGAGUGGGGAGGGGCAGUUGGAGCAUGCACAGACGCUUCACCCGACCACACUCCGGUUGAGGUGUAUACAUCCAGGAAUACUCCGGUGAAUGUCUCCAGUACCCAGAGGUCUGUGUUCAUCGGCCGGUAAAACUCCGCUGGAUGACUCGCUUCAGAAAGGUUGAAAAACUGCAUCACUCCCUCUUUAGCCUUUAGCUUAGCACCAUUGCAACCAUAAACAACACUGGCUUGGCCGUGUCAUCCUCCCCAGCUCCACCCGCUCAUCAAAAAUCGUUACUAAUAUUUGCAAGAAACCAAGACGGCGAUGCCCGUAUCGCCCAACUCGAGGCUUCAGAACGGCAGUCCACAAACCAAUAGUGUGUGUGUGUGUGUGUUGCCUCUCACCACUGGCCCUUGGCAGCUGUACUCCUCCUCUGCUGUGAGAUGCUGUAGAUCUCCUGCAGCUGUUUCUUCUGUUCGUCGCUGAGCGGAGCUGUCAAACACUGGUACCAGGCUGCAUCAGUGUUCUGGACCCCUAACA
This is a long non-coding RNA of Perca flavescens (yellow perch), 648 nucleotides long. RefSeq lists it as uncharacterized. The transcript is spliced from 3 exons. The record is from RefSeq and is a predicted model, not a curated record. Lineage: Eukaryota; Metazoa; Chordata; Actinopteri; Perciformes; Percidae.